This is a long non-coding RNA of Gastrolobium bilobum, 534 nucleotides long. RefSeq lists it as uncharacterized. The record is from RefSeq and is a predicted model, not a curated record. The transcript is spliced from 3 exons. NCBI's taxonomy places the organism in Eukaryota, Viridiplantae, Streptophyta, Magnoliopsida, Fabales, Fabaceae.
CCUCCAUGGCCAAAAGCUUGGAAAAAUUCCAUUUUCUUGUAACUUCCUCAUUUCUCCACCAAAUCUAGCAAAGUUUGUGUUGAAACUUGAUGGAAAUAGCCUUCUAAACACAUUGGCACUAGUGGCAAGCCUUGAAACCCAUCAUAUUUUGAGAAAUCCCCUCCCCAAAAUCGCGGCCCUCUUCCUUAGAUUUGUGUUCUUGGUGGUGAUUGAUGCUCCAAUGGUUGGAUAUGAUGUGGAGGAGCCUUAUACCCACCUUUUGAGUUUCCUUUCUCGGACUCUAUAGAGGAGAAUUAAGCUUGGAGCUUACGUUGUGGAGCAUUGGCUUCAGAGUUGAGGUUAGGUUGAGCCUGGAGGAGAGGAGCAUGAGGUGCACAUGGAGGGCAUAGCAUGUUCAAGGAUUUUAUCGAAUACACCUAGUAUGGUGUUUAAUACUUUGGAUUUAGGUUAUGAGCUUGUGCAUGUUGAUAUUGCCAUGCUUUUGUAUAUUCAUGACUAUAUGUAAGUCUUUCAAAAAAUGGAUGUAUAACUAUG